AUACGGAGGAUCCAAGCGUUAUCCGGAAUCAUUGGGUUUAAAGGGUCCGUAGGCGGGUUUGUAAGUCAGUGGUGAAAGUUUUCGGCUCAACCGGAAAAUUGCCAUUGAUACUGCAAGUCUUGAAUUAUUGUGAAGCGAUUAGGAUGUGUAGUGUAGCGGUGAAAUGCAUAGAUAUUACACAGAAUACCGAUUGCGAAGGCAGAUCACUAACAAUAUAUUGACGCUAAGGGACGAAAGCGUGGGUAGCGAACAGGAUUAGAAACCCUAGUAGUCC
RNAcentral lists this ribosomal RNA (274 nucleotides) under uncultured bacterium. RNAcentral describes it as "partial 16S ribosomal RNA". It matches the Rfam family "Bacterial small subunit ribosomal RNA", at positions 523 to 796 of the family's 1533-position model. The record is from RNAcentral.